This 396-nucleotide ribosomal RNA is filed under the name Triticum aestivum (bread wheat). Its description in RNAcentral is "partial small subunit ribosomal RNA". Lineage: Eukaryota; Viridiplantae; Streptophyta; Magnoliopsida; Poales; Poaceae. The record is from RNAcentral.
AUGUCCAUUUGGCGCUACUACCCAGAGGAUUUUCUGGUGCUUUGCCAUGACGAUGCUCUCCGGGAUCGGAUGGUGCGUGCGGGCAAGGCGGAUUCCUCCUGGUUUGAGCUCUCCUUGCGGCCCUGGAUUCGUCAGUCGCAGGCCACGGCGGCAUCCUUGCCCUUCCUCGUCCCGAUCUCUCUGAGGAGGGUGCCGGCCCACACCUGGAACCAGAGGACGGCGAGCGCGGUCUUACGCGGCCUGGGCUACGUGGUGGGGGUGAACGAGGACACCGCGAGCCAAGCGGACAUGGCGGACUUCCGUGUGUGGCUUCGCACAGACCGGCCGCAUCGGAUUCCAAGACAGCGGAUGAACCCCGGCGAACUCUUUGGGCUGAAGAGGAUGGACGGCAUUUGA